UACGAAGGGGGCUAGCGUUGUUCGGAUUUACUGGGCGUAAAGCGCACGUAGGCGGACCAUUAAGUUGGGGGUGAAAUCCCAAGGCUCAACCCUGGAAGUGCCUCCGAAACUGGUGGACUGGAGCAGAAGAGAGGCGAGUGGAAUUCCGAGUGUAGAGGUGAAAUGCGUAGAUAUGUGGAGGAACACCAGUGGCGAAGGCGACUUUCUGGACUCUUGCUGACGCUGAGGCGCGAAAGCGUGGGGAGCAAACAGG
Molecule: ribosomal RNA, 253 nt
Filed under: uncultured bacterium
Lineage: Bacteria
Description: partial 16S ribosomal RNA
Rfam family: Bacterial small subunit ribosomal RNA
Source: RNAcentral